AUACGGAGGAGGCAAGCGUUGUUCGGAAUUAUUGGGCUUAAAGCUCGUGUAGGCGGCCAAGUAAGUGUCUUGUGAAAUCCCUCGGCUCAACCGAGGAACUGCUCGGCAUACUGCUUGGCUUGAGGUCGGUAGAGGUGACUGGAACUCUAGGUGGAGCGGUGAAAUGCGUAGAUAUCUAGAGGAACGCCGGAGGCGAAAGCGGGUCACUGGGCCGAUUCUGACGCUGAGACGCGAAAGCGUGGGUAGCAAACAGGAUUAGAAACCCCAGUAGUCC
Molecule: ribosomal RNA, 274 nt
Filed under: uncultured bacterium
Lineage: Bacteria
Description: partial 16S ribosomal RNA
Rfam family: Bacterial small subunit ribosomal RNA
Source: RNAcentral